This 497-nucleotide ribosomal RNA is filed under the name uncultured bacterium. RNAcentral describes it as "partial 16S ribosomal RNA". It matches the Rfam family "Bacterial small subunit ribosomal RNA", at positions 28 to 507 of the family's 1533-position model. The record is from RNAcentral.
GAUGAACGCUGGCGGUGUGCCUAAUACAUGCAAGUCGAGCGAACAGACGAGGAGCUUACUCCUCUGACGUUAGCGGCGGACGGGUGAGUAACACGUGGAUAACCUACCUAUAAGACUGGGAUAACUUCGGGAAACCGGAGCUAAUACCGGAUAACAUGUUGAACCGCAUGGUUCAACAGUGAAAGACGGUCUUGCUGUCACUUAUAGAUGGAUCCGCGUCGCAUUAGCUAGUUGGUAAGGUAACGGCUUACCAAGGCAACGAUGCGUAGCCGACCUGAGAGGAGGAUCAGCCACACUGGAACUGAGACACGGUCCAGACUCCUACGGGAGGCAGCAGUGGGGAAUAUUGGACAAUGGGCGAAAGCCUGAUCCAGCAAUGCCGCGUGGGUGAAGAAGGUCUUCGGAUCGUAAAGCCCUUUUGUUAGGAAAGAAAAGAAGCAGGAUAAUACCUCGACGUCCUGACGGUACCCAAAGAAUAAGCACCGGCUAACUUCGUG